GUGCAAUGAUGGGGGCAUUGGUUGGUAUAACCCUUGAAACGCUCUCAUGCUUCACAGAAGCUUUCACCAGCCUUCACAGUAGAGGUGUACUUGGAUC
Arabidopsis suecica is the source of this 97-nucleotide non-coding RNA. NCBI's taxonomy places the organism in Eukaryota, Viridiplantae, Streptophyta, Magnoliopsida, Brassicales, Brassicaceae. The record is from the annotation of a GenBank genome assembly.